AUUGAACGCUGGCGGCAUGCUUUACACAUGCAAGUCGAACGGGCUUGGGGGCUUGCUCCCAAGUUAGUGGCGAACGGGUGAGUAAUACAUCGGAGCGUACCGUGUAGUGGGGGAUAACUUAGCGAAAGUUAGGCUAAUACCGCAUACGAUCUACGGAUGAAAGUGGGGGGACCUUCGGGCCUCACGCUAUACGAGCGGCCGAUGUCUGAUUAGCUAGUUGGUGAGGUAAAGGCUCACCAAGGCGACGAUCAGUAGCGGGUCUGAGAGGAUGAUCCGCCACACUGGGACUGAGACACGGCCCAGACUCCUACGGGAGGCAGCAGUGGGGAAUUUUGGACAAUGGGCGAAAGCCUGAUCCAGCCAUGCCGCGUGUCUGAAGAAGGCCUCGG
Molecule: ribosomal RNA, 389 nt
Filed under: uncultured bacterium
Lineage: Bacteria
Description: bacterial SSU rRNA
Rfam family: Bacterial small subunit ribosomal RNA
Source: RNAcentral